UUGAACGCUGGCGGCAGGCCUAACACAUGCCAGUCGAACGGUAACAGGAAGAAGCUUGCUUCUUUGCUGACGAGUGGCGGACGGGUGAGUAAUGUCUGGGAAACUGCCUGAUGGAGGGGGAUAACUACUGGAAACGGUAGCUAAUACCGCAUAACGUCGCAAGACCAAAAAGGGGGACCUUCGGGCCUCUUGCCAUCGGAUGUGCCCAGAUGGGAUUAGCUAGUAGGUGGGGUAACGGCUCACCUAGGCGACGAUCCCUAGCUGGUCUGAGAGGAUGACCAGCCACACUGGAACUGAGACACGGUCCAGACUCCUACGGGAGGCAGCAGUGGGGAAUAUUGCACAAUGGGCGCAAGCCUGAUGCAGCCAUGCCGCGUGUAUGAAGAAGGCCUUCGGGUUGUAAAGUACUUUCAGCGGGGAGGAAGGGAGUAAAGUUAAUACCUUUGCUCAUUGACGUUACCCGCAGAAGAAGCACCGGCUAACUCCGUG
This 489-nucleotide ribosomal RNA is filed under the name uncultured bacterium. RNAcentral's name for it is "partial 16S ribosomal RNA". It matches the Rfam family "Bacterial small subunit ribosomal RNA", at positions 30 to 507 of the family's 1533-position model. The record is from RNAcentral.